RNAcentral lists this long non-coding RNA (450 nucleotides) under Rattus norvegicus (Norway rat). RNAcentral describes it as "long non-coding RNA NONRATT007273". Lineage: Eukaryota; Metazoa; Chordata; Mammalia; Rodentia; Muridae. The record is from RNAcentral.
CGGGGCAGGGCCUGGCUGGGCAGGGCGCUCCGGGCAGCAGCUGCCCCCCGCAGGCCCGCGCCGGGACAGCGCGGUCCUCAGCCUGGAGGCCGCUCGGGGACCCCGCCGAGCCGCGGGCCCACCUGUGACGAGGAUUACAGAGACACAACACUGCUUCUCAUUUAACACUAUCUUCUUGCUGAAUGGUCUGGGACAUUUCCUGCUCUAAGCCACUCAGGUACCAGCACCUGAUCUGUGGGCUUGGUUACCCACUCAAGUGUCAGCACCGUGGACCACCUCGUCUGUGCACGGGGUACCCAGGUUGAAAUGAGACAGUCACCUGCUUUCGGAGCGGAUGUGGUCAGAUGCCUGCCUGCCUGCCUGCCUGCCUGCCGCCAUGCUUCUCACCGUGAUGCUCUGGGACGAGUCUCUGAAACCGUAGUCUCCCCAUAAACUCUGCUUCUACAAAUC